CUAAUAUGACUAAUUGGGGUGGCAGAGCAUGGUAAUUGCAUAAGACCUAAGACCUUAUUUUCGAAAGUUCAAAUCCUUCCCUCAAUU
Molecule: transfer RNA, 87 nt
Filed under: Pseudoeurycea leprosa
Lineage: Eukaryota; Metazoa; Chordata; Amphibia; Caudata; Plethodontidae
Also listed under: 1 other name
Description: tRNA-Leu
Rfam family: tRNA (bases 13-87)
About the family: Transfer RNA (tRNA) molecules are approximately 80 nucleotides in length. Their secondary structure includes four short double-helical elements and three loops (D, anti-codon, and T loops).
Source: RNAcentral